UAGGUAACAGGUACCAGCUACUGUCAGCAGGGAGGAAGGUAUGUGGUGACCACGAGUCCAGACCUGAGGGUCCUGACCCUCUAAUGCGGCCUCUCACCAGUGUUCGCAGAAACCCACCCGCUGAUUCAAUACGGGGACCAGGAACCUGCCAUGACAGUCACGACUCAGUCUGCCUGCACCUACAUGAUUAAAAAGCUUUAUUGCUCACACAAAGCCUGUUUGGUGGUCUCUUCAUAUGGAUGCGCAUAACAUUUGGUGCCGAAGACCCCGGACAGGGUGACUCCUUCGGGAGAUUGGUCCCCUCUCCUCACCCUCACUCCAUGAGAAGAUCCACCUACGACCUCAGGUCCUCAGACCAGCCCAAGGAACAUCUCACCAAUUUCAAACCGGGUUCCUGUGUCACCCCUAAUCCUGCUUGAAGCAGCCCUGAGAAACAUCACCCAUUAUCUCUCCAUACCACCCCCAAAAAUUUUCGCUGCCCCAACAUUUCAUCACUAUUUUGUUUUGUUUUUCUUAUUAAUAUAAGAAGACAGGAAUGUCAGGCCUCUGAGCCCGAGCUAAGCCAUCAUAUCCCCUGUGACCUGCGCUUAUACAUCCAGAUGGCCUGAAGCAACUGAAGAACCACAAAGAAGUGAAAAUACCCAGUUCCUGCCUUAACUGAUGACAUUCCACCAUUGUAAUUUGUUCCUGCCCCACCCUAACUGAUCAGUUGACCUUGUGACAUUCCUUCUCCUGGACAAUAAAUCUCAGGAGCUCCCCACUGAGCACCUUGUGACCCCCGCCUGUACCCGCAAGAGGACAACCCCCUUUAACUGUAAUUUUCCACUACCUACACAAAUCCUAUAAAACCGCCCCAUCCCUAUCUCCCUUUGCUGACUCUUUUUUCAGACUCAGUCUGCCUGCACCCACAUGAUUAAAAAGCUUAAUUGCUCACACAAAGCCUGUUUGGUGGUCUCUUAACAUGAAUGCACGUAACACAACCACCUUCAGGGCUCAAGAAAUCCUCCUUCUCUGCCUCCUGAGUAGCUGGGACUGCAGGUGCACACCACCACCCCCAGUUAAUUUUUGUAUUUUUUGUAGAGA
Molecule: long non-coding RNA, 1083 nt
Filed under: Homo sapiens (human)
Lineage: Eukaryota; Metazoa; Chordata; Mammalia; Primates; Hominidae
Description: HSALNT0311638
Source: RNAcentral